Amblyraja radiata (thorny skate) is the source of this 237-nucleotide long non-coding RNA. RefSeq lists it as uncharacterized. The record is from RefSeq and is a predicted model, not a curated record. NCBI's taxonomy places the organism in Eukaryota, Metazoa, Chordata, Chondrichthyes, Rajiformes, Rajidae. The transcript is spliced from 3 exons.
UGUCAGUCCAUCAUGGUAUGCAGACUCUCUGCAGUAGAGUAAAUGCUGCCCACCACUGCAACACAUUCAGUCAACUUCCUCGGUCAAUAAGCCACCGACUCCACAGUCUGUACAUGGACAUUGGGAGCUGCAGUGAAACAGCACAACUUGGCCCGUACUUGCAUAAUAUAGAAAAAACAUGGGGAAUCGUGGCCACAACUGGUACUUAUUCACAGGUAUCCAGGCAGCUGCACCUUC